UACGGAGGGUGCAAACGUUGCUCGGAAUCAUUGGGCGUAAAGCGCACGUAGGCGGCUAUGCAAGUUGGAUGUGAAAGCCCUGGGCUCAACCCAGGAAGUGCAUCCAAAACUGCAUGGCUCGAGUUCCGAAGGGGGCCAGAGAAUUCCCGGUGUAGAGGUGAAAUUCGUAGAUAUCGGGAGGAAUACCAGUGGCGAAGGCGCUGGCCUGGUCGGAGACUGACGCUGAGGUGCGAUAGCGUGGGGAGCAAACAGG
RNAcentral lists this ribosomal RNA (253 nucleotides) under uncultured bacterium. RNAcentral describes it as "partial 16S ribosomal RNA". It matches the Rfam family "Bacterial small subunit ribosomal RNA", at positions 524 to 776 of the family's 1533-position model. The record is from RNAcentral.